Molecule: ribosomal RNA, 484 nt
Filed under: uncultured bacterium
Lineage: Bacteria
Description: partial 16S ribosomal RNA
Rfam family: Bacterial small subunit ribosomal RNA
Source: RNAcentral
AUUGAACGCUGGCGGCAGGCCUAACACAUGCAAGUCGAGCGGAUGAAGGGAGCUUGCUCCUGGAUUCAGCGGCGGACGGGUGAGUAAUGCCUAGGAAUCUGCCUGGUAGUGGGGGAUAACGUCCGGAAACGGGCGCUAAUACCGCAUACGUCCUGAGGGAGAAAGUGGGGGAUCUUCGGACCUCACGCUAUCAGAUGAGCCUAGGUCGGAUUAGCUAGUUGGUGGGGUAAAGGCCUACCAAGGCGACGAUCCGUAACUGGUCUGAGAGGAUGAUCAGUCACACUGGAACUGAGACACGGUCCAGACUCCUACGGGAGGCAGCAGUGGGGAAUAUUGGACAAUGGGCGAAAGCCUGAUCCAGCCAUGACGUGUGUGUGAAGAAGGUCUUCGGAUUGUAAAGCACUUUAAGUUGGGAGGAAGGGCAGUAAGUUAAUACCUUGCUGUUUUGACGUUACCAACAGAAUAAGCACCGGCUAACUUCGUG